This 606-nucleotide ribosomal RNA is filed under the name Exserohilum rostratum. RNAcentral describes it as "partial large subunit ribosomal RNA". It matches the Rfam family "Eukaryotic large subunit ribosomal RNA", at positions 41 to 662 of the family's 3401-position model. The record is from RNAcentral. Lineage: Eukaryota; Fungi; Ascomycota; Dothideomycetes; Pleosporales; Pleosporaceae.
UAUUCCCAAAGCUGAGGAAAAGGAAACCAACGAUUGCCCUAGUAACGGCGAGUGAAGCGGCAACAGCUCAAAUUUGAAAUCUGGCUCUUUCAGAGUCCGAGUUGUAAUUUGCAGAGGGCGCUUUGGCUUUGGCAGCGGUCCAAGUUCCUUGGAACAGGACGUCACAGAGGGUGAGAAUCCCGUACGUGGUCGCUAGCUAUUGCCGUGUAAAGCCCCUUCGACGAGUCGAGUUGUUUGGGAAUGCAGCUCUAAAUGGGAGGUAAAUUUCUUCUAAAGCUAAAUAUUGGCCAGAGACCGAUAGCGCACAAGUAGAGUGAUCGAAAGAUGAAAAGCACUUUGGAAAGAGAGUCAAACAGCACGUGAAAUUGUUGAAAGGGAAGCGCUUGCAGCCAGACUUGCUUGCAGUUGCUCAUCCGGGCUUUUGCCCGGUGCACUCUUCUGCAGGCAGGCCAGCAUCAGUUUGGGCGGUGGGAUAAAGGUCUCUGUCAUGUACCUCUCUUCGGGGAGGCCUUAUAGGGGAGGCGACAUACCACCAGCCUAGACUGAGGUCCGCGCAUCUGCUAGGAUGCUGGCGUAAUGGCUGUAAGCGGCCCGUCUUGAACACCC